This 190-nucleotide ribosomal RNA is filed under the name uncultured Glomeraceae. Its description in RNAcentral is "partial 18S ribosomal RNA". It matches the Rfam family "Eukaryotic small subunit ribosomal RNA", at positions 595 to 787 of the family's 1831-position model. Lineage: Eukaryota; Fungi; Glomeromycota; Glomeromycetes; Glomerales; Glomeraceae. The record is from RNAcentral.
UAGCGUAUAUUAAAGUUGUUGCAGUUAAAAAGCUCGUAGUUGAAUUUCGGGGUCAGUAGGUCGGUCGUGCCACUGGUAUGAACUGGUUUUACUGAUUCCUCCCUCUUGAAGAACUGUAAUGCCAUUAAUUUGGUGUUGCAGGGAAUCAGGACUGUUACUUUGAAAAAAUUAGAGUGUUUAAAGCAGGCAC